AGGCUGCAACUCGCCUGCAUGAAGUUGGAAUUGCUGUAAUCGCGAAUCAGAAUGUCGCGGUGAAUACGUUCCCGGGCCUUGUACACACCGCCCGUCACACCAUGAGAGUCGAUAACACCCGAAGCCUGUGAGCUAACCGUAAGGAGGCAGCAGUCGAAGGUGGGGUUGAUGAUUGGGGUGAAGUCGUAACAAGGUACC
This 198-nucleotide ribosomal RNA is filed under the name uncultured bacterium. RNAcentral describes it as "partial 16S ribosomal RNA". It matches the Rfam family "Bacterial small subunit ribosomal RNA", at positions 1302 to 1500 of the family's 1533-position model. The record is from RNAcentral.